Molecule: ribosomal RNA, 552 nt
Filed under: Triticum aestivum (bread wheat)
Lineage: Eukaryota; Viridiplantae; Streptophyta; Magnoliopsida; Poales; Poaceae
Description: partial small subunit ribosomal RNA
Source: RNAcentral
AUGGAUCCUGAGUUGGGAGAGGUCAUAGAGGAGGAGGGGGAUGCCGUCGAUGUGAGGGCUGCAGUAGCGGAGCAGAGGAGGAGGAGGAGGCGCAUGCGCAGGCAGAUGGCACGACGUGCUGCCGAGGAGGAACUAGAGGCAGAGUUCAACAGACGCCUUGCGCGCGAGAAAAUGUCACCCAGGAUCAGGAUUGUUGCUCCUAGUUCCGGUGUUCUGAAGAUGGAGACUUCAGACAAAAAUGGGUAUCAGUUGAUGGAAGUUGCCUACCACAUCGACUUUGAUGGUUGCAUCAACCUAACUACUGGGUGGAAGGAGUUUGUGGCAGAGUCUGGAUUUGAGGAUGGUGAUGUGGUUAUGGCUGGAUUCACUAGGGUUCCUUUGCUCUUGAACGAGUGGUUGGCGACAGUGAUACUCGAUUCCGUGGUGGUUAAUGACAACCAUGGUGCUGCUGAGGACAUUACUGAUGUUGUCAAAGAUAUUAAUAAUGGAAUGUAUUCUCUUAACGUUGAUGAUGUUGAUGGCAGCUUGCAGUUGUCUGUUACUCAGUCAUAG